Small nucleolar RNA from Pseudophryne corroboree (corroboree frog), 76 nucleotides. RefSeq annotates it as small nucleolar RNA SNORD47. NCBI's taxonomy places the organism in Eukaryota, Metazoa, Chordata, Amphibia, Anura, Myobatrachidae. The record is from RefSeq and is a predicted model, not a curated record. The transcript has a single exon.
AACUAAUGAUGAAACUGAUUCUGCCAUAUGAAAUCCACUGAUAUCAUCACCUACCGUUCCAUUCUUUUCUGAAAUU